RNAcentral lists this ribosomal RNA (508 nucleotides) under uncultured bacterium. RNAcentral's name for it is "bacterial SSU rRNA". It matches the Rfam family "Bacterial small subunit ribosomal RNA", at positions 19 to 518 of the family's 1533-position model. The record is from RNAcentral.
AUGGCUCAGGAUGAACGCUAGCGACAGGCUUAACACAUGCAAGUCGAGGGGCAGCAUAAAAGUAGCAAUACUUGGUGGCGACCGGCGCACGGGUGAGUAACGCGUAUGCAACCUACCUAUCAGAGGGGAAUAACCCGGCGAAAGUCGGACUAAUACCGCAUAAAACAGGGGCACCGCAUGGUGAUAUUUGUUAAAGAAAUUCGCUGAUAGAUGGGCAUGCGUUCCAUUAGGUAGUUGGUGAGGUAACGGCUCACCAAGCCGACGAUGGAUAGGGGAACUGAGAGGUUGGUCCCCCACACUGGUACUGAGACACGGACCAGACUCCUACGGGAGGCAGCAGUGAGGAAUAUUGGUCAAUGGGCGAGAGCCUGAACCAGCCAAGUCGCGUGAAGGAAAAGAAGGAUCUAUGGUUCGUAAACUUCUUUUGCAGGGGAAUAAAGUGCAGGACGUGUCCUGUUUUGUAUGUACCCUGAGAAUAAGGAUCGGCUAACUCCGUGCCAGCAGCUGC